CGUUAGCGGCGGACGGGUGAGUAACACUGGGUAACCUGCCUAUAAGACUGGGAUAACUUCGGGAAACCGGAGCUAAUACCGGAUAAUAUUUCGAACCGCAUGGUUCGAUAGUGAAAGGUGGUUUUGCUAUCACUUAUAGAUGGACCCGCGCCGUAUUAGCUAGUUGGUAAGGUAACGGCUUACCAAGGCGACGAUACGUAGCCGACCUGAGAGGGUGAUCGGCCACACUGGAACUGAGACACGGUCCAGACUCCUACGGGAGGCAGCAGAU
RNAcentral lists this ribosomal RNA (271 nucleotides) under uncultured Staphylococcus sp. Its description in RNAcentral is "partial 16S ribosomal RNA". It matches the Rfam family "Bacterial small subunit ribosomal RNA", at positions 90 to 354 of the family's 1533-position model. Lineage: Bacteria; Bacillati; Bacillota; Bacilli; Caryophanales; Staphylococcaceae. The record is from RNAcentral.